GAGGGUGUAGCUCAGUGGUAGAGCACAUGCUUAGAAUGCACAACAUCCUGGGCUUUAUCCCCAGUACCUCCA
This 72-nucleotide transfer RNA is filed under the name Camelus bactrianus (Bactrian camel). It matches the Rfam family "tRNA". From Rfam's summary of the family: Transfer RNA (tRNA) molecules are approximately 80 nucleotides in length. RNAcentral also lists the same sequence under 2 other names. The record is from Rfam by way of RNAcentral. Lineage: Eukaryota; Metazoa; Chordata; Mammalia; Artiodactyla; Camelidae.